UCGACGGGGAGGUUUGGCACCUCGAUGUCGGCUCAUCGCAUCCUGGGGCUGGAGUAGGUCCCAAGGGUUGGGCUGUUCGCCCAUUAAAGCGGUACGCGAGCUGGGUUCAGAACGUCGUGAGACAGUUCGGUCCCUAUCUGUCGUGGGCGUAGGAAAUUUGAGGGGAACUGACCCUAGUACGAGAGGACCGGGAUGGACGUACCGCUGGUGUACCAGUUGUGCCGCCAGGUGCAUCGCUGGGUAGCCAAGUACGGAAGAGAUAAGCGCUGAAAGCAUCUAAGCGCGAAGCUCACCCCAAGAUGAGAUUUCCCACUGGCUUAAGCCAGGUAAGACCCCUUGUAGACGACGAGGUUGAUCGGUCCUGGGUGGAAGUGUGGUAACACAUGAAGCUUUGGGAUACGAUCGGUCGAGGGCUUAUUCAU
RNAcentral lists this ribosomal RNA (422 nucleotides) under Candidatus Carbonibacillus altaicus. RNAcentral describes it as "partial 23S ribosomal RNA". It matches the Rfam family "Bacterial large subunit ribosomal RNA", at positions 2505 to 2925 of the family's 2925-position model. Lineage: Bacteria; Bacillati; Bacillota; Bacilli; Thermicanales; Thermicanaceae. The record is from RNAcentral.